AGUACUGGUUGUAGUAGCUGAAAAGCGACUCGAACAUGGCCGCGGGUUCGCGCAGGAUGGUGACAUAGAUCGUGUCUGGAGGCAUGAGGCGCUCGAGUUCUGCACGGUCGAAGCGCAGAUGGCUGGCCAGCAUGUGCGGGGGCCUCGUAGCUGGGUGCACGAAGUGGGCCGAGAAGUUUCGCGGGAUAAUGUGCAUUAGAAGGAGGCGGUCCCAAAGAAACUGAGCACCGAGUACUGUCAGCCUGCUUGAAGAGCUGGAGAGUGCGGAACUACCUGAACUUUCUCAGAUUGCUUUUAGUCAGUCCUUCAGAAAAGACUGUGUGUCUGGCAGACACCUUGACUGAAAACCUGCAAGAGACCUGGAGUCACGAGUUCUCGGCCGCAUUUGGAUUCAUGAUUUAUAGAAAUGGAAAGAGAAUAAAUGUUUGUUGUUUUCAGCA
This is a long non-coding RNA of Mus musculus (house mouse), 440 nucleotides long. RefSeq annotates it as predicted gene, 42064. The record is from RefSeq and is marked validated. The transcript has 2 exons. Lineage: Eukaryota; Metazoa; Chordata; Mammalia; Rodentia; Muridae.